GAUGAACGCUGGCGGCGUGCCUAAUACAUGCAAGUCGGGCGAACGGACGAGAAGCUUGCUUCUCUGAUGUUAGCGGCGGACGGGUGAGUAACACGUGGAUAACCUACCUAUAAGACUGGGAUAACUUCGGGAAACCGGAGCUAAUACCGGAUAAUAUUUUGAACCGCAUUGUUCAAAAGUGAAAGACGGUCUUGCUGUCACUUAUAGAUGGAUCCGCGCUGCAUUAGCUAGUUGGUAAGGUAACGGCUUACCAAGGCAACGAUGCAUAGCCGACCUGAGAGGGUGAUCGGCCACACUGGAACUGAGACACGGUCCAGACUCCUACGGGAGGCAGCAGUAGGGAAUCUUCCGCAAUGGGCGAAAGCCUGACGGAGCAACGCCGCGUGAGUGAUGAAGGUCUUCGGAUCGUAAAACUCUGUUAUUAGGGAAGAACAUAUGUGUAAGUAACUGUGCACAUCUUGACGGUACCUAAUCAGAAAGCCACGGCUAACUACGUG
This 497-nucleotide ribosomal RNA is filed under the name uncultured bacterium. Its description in RNAcentral is "partial 16S ribosomal RNA". It matches the Rfam family "Bacterial small subunit ribosomal RNA", at positions 28 to 507 of the family's 1533-position model. The record is from RNAcentral.